AGUUUGAUCCUGGCUACAGGACGAACGCUAGCGGCAGGCCUAAUACAUGCCAAGGUCGUACGGUAAGACACCCUUCGGGGGUGUUGAGAGUGGCGGACGGGUGCGUAACGCGUAUGCAACCAACCCCCGACGGGCGGGACAGCCGGUGGAAAACGCCGGAUAAUACGCCAUGCGGCUGUCCAGGGGCAUCCCUGGGCAGUCAAAGCCUUGGCGGUCGGGACGGGCAUGCGUGCCAUUAGAUGGUCGGCGGGGUGACGGCCCACCGAGUCGACGAUGGCUAGGGGAUCUGAGAGGAAGGUCCCCCACACUGGAACUGAGACACGGUCCAGACUCCUACGGGAGGCAGCAGUGAGGAAUAUUGGUCAAUGGGGCGCAAGCCUGAACCAGCCAUGCCGCGUGAAGGAAUGAGGCCCUAUGGGUCGUAAACUUCUUUUGUGGUGGAGCAAUAAGGCGUACGUGUACGCCGAUGAGAGUACAUCACGAAUAAGCAUCGGCUAACUCCGUGCC
This 507-nucleotide ribosomal RNA is filed under the name uncultured organism. Its description in RNAcentral is "SSU rRNA". It matches the Rfam family "Bacterial small subunit ribosomal RNA", at positions 10 to 509 of the family's 1533-position model. The record is from RNAcentral.